This 253-nucleotide ribosomal RNA is filed under the name uncultured bacterium. RNAcentral's name for it is "partial 16S ribosomal RNA". It matches the Rfam family "Bacterial small subunit ribosomal RNA", at positions 524 to 776 of the family's 1533-position model. The record is from RNAcentral.
UACGAAGGGGGCUAGCGUUGUUCGGAAUUACUGGGCGUAAAGGGCGCGUAGGCUGUGCUGUAAGUCAGGCGUGAAAGCCCCGGGCUCAACCUGGGAAUUGCGCUUGAUACUGCGGCGCUGGAAGGUGGGAGAGGAUGGCGGAAUUCCCAGUGUAGAGGUGAAAUUCGUAGAUAUUGGGAAGAACACCGGUGGCGAAGGCGGCCAUCUGGCCCAUUUUUGACGCUGAGAAGCGAAAGCAUGGGGAGCGAACAGG